RNAcentral lists this ribosomal RNA (429 nucleotides) under Chloroflexota bacterium. Its description in RNAcentral is "Chloroflexi bacterium partial 16S ribosomal RNA". It matches the Rfam family "Bacterial small subunit ribosomal RNA", at positions 355 to 776 of the family's 1533-position model. The record is from RNAcentral. Lineage: Bacteria; Bacillati; Chloroflexota.
UGGGGAAUAUUGCACAAUGGGCGCAAGCCUGAUGCAGCCAUGCCGCGUGUAUGAAGAAGGCCUUCGGGUUGUAAAGUGCUUUCAGCGGGGAGGAAGGGAGUAAAGUUCAUACCUUUACUCAUUGACGUUACCCGCAGAAGAAGCACCGGCUAACUCCGUGCCAGCAGCCGCGGUAAUACGGAGGGUGCAAGCGUUAAUCGGAAUUACUGGGCGUAAAGCGCACGCAGGCGGUUUGUUAAGUCAGAUGUGAAAUCCCCGGGCUCAACCUGGGAACUGCAUCUGAUACUGGCAAGCGUGAGUCUCGUAGAGGGGGGUGGAAUUCCAGGUGUAGCGGUGAAAUGCGUAGAGAUCUGGAGGAAUACCGGUGGCGAAGGCGGCCCCCUGGACGAAGACUGACGCUCAGGUGCAAAAGCGUGGGGAGCAAACAGG